GAUGAACGCUAGCUACAGGCUUAACACAUGCAAGUCGAGGGGAAACGACAUCGUAAGCUUGCUUUUGAUGGGCGUCGACCGGCGCACGGGUGAGUAACGCGUAUCCAACCUGCCCAUCACUUGGGAAUAACCUUGCGAAAGUAAGACUAAUACCCAAUGAUAUCCCACGAAGGCAUCGGAAUGGGAUUAAAGAUUUAUCGGUGAUGGAUGGGGAUGCGUCUGAUUAGCUUGUUGGCGGGGUAACGGCCCACCAAGGCAACGAUCAGUAGGGGUUCUGAGAGGAAGGUACACCACAUUGGAGCUGAGACACGGUCCAAACUCCUACGGGAGGCAGCAGUGAGGAAUAUUGGUCAAUGGGCGAGAGCCUGAACCAGCCAAGUAGCGUGCAGGAAGACGGCCCUAUGGGUUGUAAACUGCUUUUAUAAGGGAAUAAAGUGGGUCACGUGUGACUUUUUGCAUGUACCUUAUGAAUAAGGACCGGCUAAUUCCGUG
RNAcentral lists this ribosomal RNA (492 nucleotides) under uncultured bacterium. RNAcentral describes it as "partial 16S ribosomal RNA". It matches the Rfam family "Bacterial small subunit ribosomal RNA", at positions 28 to 507 of the family's 1533-position model. The record is from RNAcentral.